GACGUAGGAGGCGAGCGUUGUCCGGAUUCAUUGGGCGUAAAGAGCACGCAGGCGGUUUGGCAAGUCGGAUGUGAAAACCCGAAGCUCAACUUCGGGCCUGCAUCCGAAACUGCCCGACUAGAGGUAGGUAGGGGAGAUCGGAAUUCCUGGUGUAGCGGUGAAAUGCGCAGAUAUCAGGAGGAACACCAAUAGCGAAGGCAGCUCGCUGGGACGUUACUGACACUGAGGCGCGAAAGCGUGGGGAGCGAACAGG
RNAcentral lists this ribosomal RNA (253 nucleotides) under uncultured bacterium. RNAcentral describes it as "partial 16S ribosomal RNA". It matches the Rfam family "Bacterial small subunit ribosomal RNA", at positions 524 to 776 of the family's 1533-position model. The record is from RNAcentral.